GUAGGUGGCAAGCGUUGUCCGGAAUUAUUGGGCGUAAAGCGCGCGCAGGCGGUCCUUUAAGUCUGAUGUGAAAGCUCACGGCUCAACCGUGGAGGGUCAUUGGAAACUGGGGGACUUGAGUACAGAAGAGGAAAGCGGAAUUCCAAGUGUAGCGGUGAAAUGCGUAGAGAUUUGGAGUAACACCAGUGGCGAAGGCGGCUUUCUGGUCUGUAACUGACGCUGAGGCGCGAAAGCGUGGGGAGCAAACAGGGAUUAGAUACCCUGGUAGUCCACGCCGUAAACGAUGAGUGCUAAGUGUUAGGGGGUUUCCGCCCCCUUAGUGCUGCAGCUAACGCAUUAAGCACUCCGCCUGGGGAUACGGCCGCAAGGCUG
This 372-nucleotide ribosomal RNA is filed under the name uncultured organism. RNAcentral describes it as "partial 16S ribosomal RNA". It matches the Rfam family "Bacterial small subunit ribosomal RNA", at positions 527 to 896 of the family's 1533-position model. The record is from RNAcentral.